CUGAAAUACUUAUUCUCAUCCGACCACCGAAGUUAAGCAACGUUAACCCUGGUAAUUAUCUUGAUGGGUGACCGCUCGGGAGUACCAGGUGCUGUAAG
Acanthosepion pharaonis is the source of this 98-nucleotide non-coding RNA. Lineage: Eukaryota; Metazoa; Mollusca; Cephalopoda; Sepiida; Sepiidae. The record is from the annotation of a GenBank genome assembly.